Molecule: long non-coding RNA, 1775 nt
Organism: Sapajus apella (tufted capuchin)
Lineage: Eukaryota; Metazoa; Chordata; Mammalia; Primates; Cebidae
Exons: 3
Source: RefSeq, a predicted model, not a curated record
UUAGACCAGGAGGUUGAUGUUGCAGUGAGCGGUGAUCACACCACUGCACUCCAGCCUGGGUGACAAAGCUAGAUCCUGUCUCAAAAAAAGAGACUUUGUAAAAUAAGUAGCCUCCUGGGUGGUCUUACUUUUAUCAGUGUGGAUCUUGUGUUGGCAUGGUGAAUGUGGGUUUAUUUCCUUUAUUAGGCCAACAGAGAACACUCUUCUUUCGUCAUAGACUUCAGUACCACCUAUUUCAGCUUCCUUGGAGAUAGCUUCCUUGGUCCUCUUAGUAAGUUGCCUUGCUAAUUUUGCAGGUGAACUUGAUGAAAACAGCCACACCUUUCUGCAGUCUCUCACUAGUUGUCAUUGUUUAAAUUGAGGGAUUGAAUGUAUAAAGUUAGCCCAAUAGAAAACUUUUCCUAUAUAAAAAUGACUUCAUUGGAGAAUGUGGAUGGUUCACAAUAGCUUGUCAGCACUGUUGGAGAAAAUACUUCAAAGCACUUGCCCUUCUGAGUGUGCCUGGUAGGCAUCCUUUAAUGUUUAGUGUAGUGCAUGAACACGAACUCUGGGUCAGACUGCCUGCAAUGGAAUCCCAGCUCUGCUACUUGCUAACUGUGGAAUCUUGGGCCAGUUAAUUAACCUCUUUAAGCCUCAGGUCUUCAUCUUUAAAAUAGAGAUUGUAUAAUAGUGUCUAUCUCUAUGUAACCAUCUUUUAAAAUAUUUCUGCUUUACCAUCUUUUUUAAAAAUAAAGGAUUAAAUGAGACACUUUGGAUAGUUCUAAGUAGUACAGUGCCUGACAGUAAGUGUUAGCCAUUAAUUUUCAUUAUUUAUCUUAUUACUAAUAACACACAUGCUAUAGCAACAUGGCAGAUUUAAAAAAAAAAUUCUACAAAGUUGCCUCAGUAUUCCUAAGGUCAUGGGUCCCUUGGAGAUUAAGGUUUAGAAUCCUGUACAAAGAAAUGAGAACAGUUUGUUACCCACACAUGCCACAGUAUAGAAAUGUUCACAGUAGGUUAAAAUACAGCCUUAUUCCACCACAGGUAGCAGUCGUUGAUAUCAAGAAUUAUGUCAUCACCACAGUAAUUCUUUUCCCCUGGUCUCUUGAGUAUUACUACGAUAUCUCAGUUUUCCUAUUUUCUAGCGCCAGGAAAUCUCAUUUACAAAUUACUCCUUCCUUUGUCUUUUUUUCCCCCCACUAAGCACCCUAAAGGAAAUGGUUGGGUUUGGUCUGAGUCUUGUAUAGCUGUAAAGAAAUUGGAAUUAGGAGAAGAUGUAGUAGGAAUUCUGAUACUCCUUUUACCUUCUCCAAGGUCAGCCAGUUAGCUCUUUAGUAUUUCAGCUGAAUAUCAGCAUCCCUUGGAGAUAUUGAGGAUUUGGUUCUAGACUACUCCAGUAAAGCAAGUUAUAUGAAUUUUUUGGUUUCCCAGUGCAUAUUGAAGUUCUGUUUACACUAUACUGCAGUCUAAUAAGUGUGCAAUAGUAUUACAUCUAAACAGUGUACAUUCUUUAACUAAAAAUGCCUUUUUAAAAUUCUUUUUAUUUUUUUAUUUUUUAAUCUACCAAAAUAUAAAAAUGCUUUGUUAAAAAAUGCUAACCAUCAUCUGAGCCUUCAGCAAGUUGUGGUCUUUUUGCUGGUAAAUGGAGGGUCUUGCCUCGUUUUGAUGGCUGCUGACUAAUUAGGGUGGUGGUUGCUGAAGGUUGGGGUGACUGGCAAUUUCUUAAGACAGCAAUGAAGUUUGCUCCCUCUGUUGACUCUUCCUUUCAUGAAAGAUUUCUCUUUGGCAUGCACCAC